Molecule: long non-coding RNA, 717 nt
Organism: Oncorhynchus tshawytscha (Chinook salmon)
Lineage: Eukaryota; Metazoa; Chordata; Actinopteri; Salmoniformes; Salmonidae
Source: Ensembl
UGCAAAGUAGAAAUACUGGGGUGCAAAGGAGCAAAAUAAAUAAAUAAAUAAAUACAGUAGAGGAUGAGGUAUUUGUUUGGGCUAUUUACAGAUGGGCUAUGUACAGGUGCAGUGAUCUGUGAGCUGCUCUGACAGCUGGUGCUUGAAGUUAGUGAGGGAGAUGAGUCUCCAGUUUCAGUAAUUUUUGUAGUUUGUUCCAGUCAUUGGCAGCAGAGAACUGGAAGGAGAGGGGUACAAAGGAGGAAUUGGCUUUUGGGGGUGACCAGUGAGAUAUACCUUCUGGAGUGCGUGCUACGGGUGUCCAGUGUAACGGUCGUACUCACACAGGCUGAACAAUCAGUCCAGGGCACCCUUGCAGGAUCCCUCAAACUCACAUGUGCCUGUAGUGGAUUCACUCUAAGCAGCAAUUAUAUGUACUGGAUCUGCCAGGUACCUGGACUGAUUAUUCAGAGAGUAGCAAGUGCAAUGCCUCUGGAGUACAGGGCUGAUUCACAGCAUGGAAGGACAGCACUAAUGUAUGCACAUGAGCCAGUUGAUGUCAGAGGACUCUGCAGUGUAUUACUGUGCUAGAGAUUCACUAUGGUUAAACUAAUGGGAAUAGCUGUACACAAACCAUCUGGUAGAGAAAGGAAGGACGUGCACAAACACACAGACACACGUAUGGUAUGACCAGUAGACCAUGACAAAGGGAUAUACAUGAGGAACAAUUCUGUGGAG